AUUGGUAAGACAUUCUUUAAAUAAAUGCUACUAUUGGAUGCGUGUUAAGCUAUGUUAAUCACAAUGACAUCUACACCAAUAUUCGAUAUUAUAUUUCAUUUUCUAUCGACAUUUUGGACAAUGUUAAAAUUAAGUAAAUUUUACAGAAUGAAAAGAAAACUAUAAAGUACGUAAAAUAUGAUUACACGACAAACAGAUUGAACUUGUUGGUCCGCGGAAUUUAUGGGAAGAGGACCACAAGUUUUCUGAUCAUGAGCAUAUUACAGUAUGGCGCUAGAGCGUUCCUAACUUUUUCAAAGUCAUACAAAUGGAAGUUACAGAAAAUACUGUUACGUGUUACACUUACACAUAUACAGAAAAAAAAACUUACUGCCACACCAUGUAUAGAAAAGGAUGGUUAUAAGCAAGUAAAGUCAAAUGUCCUAAAAUGGCUGACACAAGAAUCCUUCAACAUCAAUAGGAAGACAACUGUUUUUGAAGAUGAAACAGAGUUAUGAUACCAAGUUCAGUUAAACUAAACUACAAUAGAUAACAAACUAACAACAAAGACUUUGAUUUGUGAUAUAAAAGAAAUGUGAUGCGAGGUCGCGUGUUGUGACUCGGUUCGUCGACUCGCUUCACAAAUCACACUUCUCGAUCGUGCUAUCCUACUAUAUAAAAGAGACUAAAUUGGAGUUCUCUAAACACUGCCAUAUGGUCACAAAUAUUCCUAGCCAAUUAAAUUGCCAUAUCAUCAAGGACUCGUCUUGAAAAAAAAAUUAAGUUAGCUGCCCAGCCCAUUUAAACCAUUACAUAGCCCAAUAUGUUAAUAUGAUAAGAGACGGUUCAGGUUAUAUCCCUUUAUCGAUCCCGUGUCUCUGAAAAUCACUCAUCCUCCCUAACCCUAAGCGCCGUCUCAGACCCUUUGUCGAUUCUCUUCCUCUCCCCCACCUUCCUAAACGCUCCCAGUUAAUCUCCUUUAUCAAGCGUACAAAGAAUCUUCGUAACUGUCUUCAGAUGCUGCUGUUGCGCAAUGCCUUCGACGCUCUUCGCCUCGGUCGAUCGUCGCAGUUCGUUAUCGCUCGGCUUCUCCGUUUUUGGGACUCGGAAAGUAUGAAGAACAUGGUGAAUUCAUAGAAUCACUCUACUUAUCCUUGAUGAGAAGGUAUUGUAACACGAAGCAUCUUAUUUUAUUUUUUAUCUUAAUUUUGUUUUCGAAUAGCCCCAAUGAUUUAAAUCGUCUAACUGUAUCUGUUUGCCAUGCUGCAUAAAGUAAGAUAUGUAGCUUGAAAUUUGAGGGAAUGUUUUAGUAUUACAGGACCUCCUAUAGUCUCAAAGAGACUGAUGUGGCUGUAUUGGAAUCUUGACCCAUAAGGUGAUGAUUACUCUUUACGCACAGAUGGUGAUACCAUGCAUAGUUUGAUCAAACUCCGUUUAGGUUUUCUUUAGGGAAACAAAUGAAGGUAAAAAGCCAAGAGCAGAAACUAGCUGUGCCGGAACCAGCAUUGAUCAAGGACCUUGAUUCAAGGAAGAGAGAAUAUCCUUUUUGAGCAAUGGCUCGAUUGAUCAAGGAGAAACAGUGUUUUUCUAAAGCAAUGGGUACUGAAAACCUCCCCUUAAGUUGCAUUAAAGAAGCCAUCAUCAUUGAUGAAAGGAAAGAGCCUGCUAUAUUGAUGACGAUUGUGAUCACAGAGAAAGACACAAAGAAAUUUGAGCUUGGAUUCAGCAGGUGGUGGUAGCCAACAAGAUGAUACAAUCGUUGAGAGAUGUAACCCAUUGAGAGGAGAGAUAUAAGAAGCUCAUGAUUUGGUUUAAAAGAUGAGAUAUAAGAAGCUCGUGAUUUGGUUUAACAGAUGACAUAUAUAAGAGUUGAGGUUAAGUAGAAAUGUUAACCUUUGUGUUACGGUCAUUUGUUUGUCUUUUUCUGUCUCUGCAAUACAAACAGCUUUUACUCUGUUGUUUUUCCUUUUGGUUUCAGUUUGAAGCAAAAGCUAUGAAUCUGUCAUUUGUGUCAUCUGAGAUUAGACUUUUUGUUUGUAAUUGAUUAUUGUUUCUUUGGCAGCAAACAAAGCCUUGGAUUUUAAAGCU
Brassica rapa (field mustard) is the source of this 2067-nucleotide long non-coding RNA. RefSeq lists it as uncharacterized. NCBI's taxonomy places the organism in Eukaryota, Viridiplantae, Streptophyta, Magnoliopsida, Brassicales, Brassicaceae. The record is from RefSeq and is a predicted model, not a curated record.